UCCUUACCGGUUCGUAAUUUGCCGCCUGGUUCCUCUACACAGAGAGAAAAAUACAUUCUCUCAGAGACUGUGGACUUCCAAGAGAGCUUUUGUAAGCCUGGUCGCGAGCAAACGAGACAGAGACAGGCUGGGCGAACGCGCGAUAGAGAGAGAGCGAGCUAGCGAGAGGGGGAGCCAAGCGGCCCAGUCGAUUGUUUUUGGCGCUGGUGGAGCUCAUUCACUCGUUUCUGGCGCUCGCGUGCAGUCGCUGCUCCCUAACGGUUGUUUCGCCGUCGCCAGAUCCCGAAAAGAUCCAUCCAACUGAAACUACAGUGCAAUAAAAUAAAAUU
This is a long non-coding RNA of Drosophila bipectinata, 329 nucleotides long. RefSeq lists it as uncharacterized. The record is from RefSeq and is a predicted model, not a curated record. NCBI's taxonomy places the organism in Eukaryota, Metazoa, Arthropoda, Insecta, Diptera, Drosophilidae.